RNAcentral lists this small RNA (275 nucleotides) under Sharpea porci. Its description in RNAcentral is "5' ureB small RNA". It matches the Rfam family "5' ureB small RNA". The record is from RNAcentral. Lineage: Bacteria; Bacillati; Bacillota; Erysipelotrichia; Erysipelotrichales; Coprobacillaceae.
UGAUAGGUAGUGAACAUGUAAGUCAAUGCCUCCAGCUGUAACAAUCAGCCCUUCACCUGAGAUAGCUUCUGUUGAAGCCCCAACGACAAAAUCAAUAUCAUCCAUGAUAUCAGGGUUGCCACCCUUGCCAAUAGCAAGAAUCUUGCCAUCCCUAAUACCAAUAUCAGCCUUAUAAAUACCUGUAUAAUCAAUGAUCAAUGCACCAGAGAUGAUUGUAUCAGCAACAAGCUUAUUGUCUUCUCUUGUCAUAGUGGCAUUAACGCCCAUGCCGUCUC